AGGAGAAGAAAGAGAGGGUGAGCCAACGCGUCUCUGCUCUUCAACAGCUCGUCUCGCCGUAUGGGAAGGUGCGUAGUAGAAAAUAAAGGGUUAAUUAUAGUUUAUAGUAUGAUCCUUUCAACGAAUUUGAGUUUUGUAGCCUCAUCGAUGUCCGGAACUUUGGGAAAUUGCUCUCGUUUUAAAGUUUUCCGGCGUUGGAAAAGUCACUAUCGCGAUGGAAUUGUGGUAGUAGUUGUGCUUUGUCGAGAUUACACCUGAAACGAUAACUAAUUUGUUCAAAAAAAAAAAAAAAAUCAAAGUUCAUGUAUUUAUUCACCAACUUUAUAAAGUACGAGAAAAAUCAUAAUCCAGUGAUAAUUUAUGCAUUUACAACCAAUUAAUUGUAUGUUUGAAACUUUGAGAAAUUGUUCUUAUUUAAAAAAAUUCGGUGUCAAGUCCCCAAGGGAACACCAAGAGGUGCGAACUCCUAUUUGCGAACAAUAAGGUCUAGGGUUCAAACCCCACCGCUCCCCCUUUCCCAAGUAAAAAAAAAAUCGGUGUAAAAAAAAGCCACAAUCACGACGGAAGUGUGGCAGUAGUUAUAUUUAGCUGAAAUUAAACAUGAAACGAUGACCUAUUGCUAAAAAACUACCAGUGUGGUCAAACCUAAUGUUUACAACGCUAAAGAAGAUUUUCAACGGUAGAUAGUCCAUGGUCAUCAAACCACCAGUGUGGUUGACAUCGCGCCUGAAAGUUAGUGGAAUGGCGAAUGGCACCAACUUUCAGGCGCAAUUAUGAUGAUACCGAUGGUCCAAUAACGAUGGGUUUACCUACUGUCGGAAAUUCUCUUUAGUGUUGAAUACAUUAAAUUCUAGUUUCGAUCGUUCAUCAUCGUCUCCGGUGUAAUUUUGACAAGUAACAACUACUGCCACAACUUCGAUGUGAUUGUGCCAUUUUGGCGCCGGAAAAUUUUAAACAUAUCAUACAAAAAAUAAAUCGAAGUUGAGACUAUAAACUAAAAUUCGUUGCAAAUUCUAUAAUUUAUCCGAAAAUAA
RNAcentral lists this long non-coding RNA (1034 nucleotides) under Salvia miltiorrhiza (redroot sage). RNAcentral's name for it is "long non-coding RNA (SMIL_LNC001628)". The record is from RNAcentral. Lineage: Eukaryota; Viridiplantae; Streptophyta; Magnoliopsida; Lamiales; Lamiaceae.